RNAcentral lists this transfer RNA (87 nucleotides) under Archangium sp. Its description in RNAcentral is "tRNA-Ser". It matches the Rfam family "tRNA". From Rfam's summary of the family: Transfer RNA (tRNA) molecules are approximately 80 nucleotides in length. Their secondary structure includes four short double-helical elements and three loops (D, anti-codon, and T loops). Further hydrogen bonds mediate the characteristic L-shaped molecular structure. tRNAs have two regions of fundamental functional importance: the anti-codon, which is responsible for specific mRNA codon recognition, and the 3' end, to which the tRNAs corresponding amino acid is attached (by aminoacyl-tRNA synthetases). tRNAs cope with the degeneracy of the genetic code in two manners: having more than one tRNA (with a specific anti-codon) for a particular amino acid; and 'wobble' base-pairing, i.e. permitting non-standard base-pairing at the 3rd anti-codon position. The record is from RNAcentral. Lineage: Bacteria; Pseudomonadati; Myxococcota; Myxococcia; Myxococcales; Archangiaceae. RNAcentral also lists the same sequence under 3 other names.
GGAGAGGUGGCCGAGUGGCUGAAGGCGCACGCCUGGAAAGCGUGUGUAUCUGAAAGGGUACCGUGGGUUCGAAUCCCACCCUCUCCG